AACAACAAGGACUGUGCAAAGAUUGGGCUGAUGGCCACCAAGAGAGGUUAAUUCAGACCCCCAUCUGGAGCUCUGGGUAGACCUGGGAGGAAGCUGGAGCCCUGGAAUAGCAGAACCUUUGUGCCACCAUCGCUGAACAGGAGAAACCACCAAGGGCAGCUGUAGGAGCUCUGGCUCCAGCACUUGACAGGACAAAGACAGGAGAUGGGAGAGAAGGGCUCAGACCACAGCCUUUCUUUCAUGACGCUUCAGUACAUGAGCUGUCCGGAGUAAAAAAAAGGGCUGCAUGGCAGUGACAGCUACAGCAUGACCUGGAAGACCUGAGAAGAUUCAGGGUGCACGUUGAGUCGUGCUACACAGGAUGAAGCUGGGGGAGGUCUGGGAGAUUUCCAGGGCUGAGGCGGACAGCCUGUACCACGUUGCAUUUUCUUAGCAACUCCCCAACUUACAGCCUAUCGGAUGCUGUUAGAUUCUGACACAUUUGGUACGAACCAAAUGGCUAUGACUUAAUU
This 512-nucleotide long non-coding RNA is filed under the name Homo sapiens (human). Its description in RNAcentral is "HSALNT0220375". Lineage: Eukaryota; Metazoa; Chordata; Mammalia; Primates; Hominidae. The record is from RNAcentral.